Molecule: ribosomal RNA, 270 nt
Filed under: uncultured bacterium
Lineage: Bacteria
Description: partial 16S ribosomal RNA
Rfam family: Bacterial small subunit ribosomal RNA
Source: RNAcentral
AAUCAACGCUGGCGGCGUGCCUAACACAUGCAAGUCGAACGAGAAAGUGGAGCAAUCCAUGAGUACAGUGGCGUACGGGUGAGUAACACGUGACUAACCUACCCUCGAGUGGGGAAUAACCUCGGGAAACCGGGGCUAAUACCGCAUAACAUCUACGGAUCAAAUGCGUAAGCAGCUUGAGGAGGGGGUCGCGGCUGAUUAGCUAGUUGGUGAGGUAAUGGCUCACCAAGGCUAUGAUCAGUAGCCGGCCUGAGAGGGCGCACGGCCACA